This 840-nucleotide ribosomal RNA is filed under the name Brevundimonas sp. AKB-2008-JO62. RNAcentral's name for it is "bacterial SSU rRNA". It matches the Rfam family "Bacterial small subunit ribosomal RNA", at positions 8 to 895 of the family's 1533-position model. Lineage: Bacteria; Pseudomonadati; Pseudomonadota; Alphaproteobacteria; Caulobacterales; Caulobacteraceae. The record is from RNAcentral.
AGAGUUUGAUCCUGGCUCAGAGCGAACGCUGGCGGCAGGCCUAACACAUGCAAGUCGAACGAACUCUUCGGAGUUAGUGGCGGACGGGUGAGUAACACGUGGGAACGUGCCUUUAGGUUCGGAAUAACUCAGGGAAACUUGUGCUAAUACCGAAUGUGCCCUUCGGGGGAAAGAUUUAUCGCCUUUAGAGCGGCCCGCGUCUGAUUAGCUAGUUGGUGAGGUAAAGGCUCACCAAGGCGACGAUCAGUAGCUGGUCUGAGAGGAUGAUCAGCCACAUUGGGACUGAGACACGGCCCAAACUCCUACGGGAGGCAGCAGUGGGGAAUCUUGCGCAAUGGGCGAAAGCCUGACGCAGCCAUGCCGCGUGAAUGAUGAAGGUCUUAGGAUUGUAAAAUUCUUUCACCGGGGACGAUAAUGACGGUACCCGGAGAAGAAGCCCCGGCUAACUUCGUGCCAGCAGCCGCGGUAAUACGAAGGGGGCUAGCGUUGCUCGGAAUUACUGGGCGUAAAGGGAGCGUAGGCGGACAUUUAAGUCAGGGGUGAAAUCCCGGGGCUCAACCUCGGAAUUGCCUUUGAUACUGGGUGUCUUGAGUAUGAGAGAGGUGUGUGGAACUCCGAGUGUAGAGGUGAAAUUCGUAGAUAUUCGGAAGAACACCAGUGGCGAAGGCGACACACUGGCUCAUUACUGACGCUGAGGCUCGAAAGCGUGGGGAGCAAACAGGAUUAGAUACCCUGGUAGUCCACGCCGUAAACGAUGAUUGCUAGUUGUCGGGAUGCAUGCAUUUCGGUGACGCAGCUAACGCAUUAAGCAAUCCGCCUGGGGAGUACGGUCGCAAGAUU